This 353-nucleotide ribosomal RNA is filed under the name Neisseria arctica. RNAcentral's name for it is "bacterial SSU rRNA". It matches the Rfam family "Bacterial small subunit ribosomal RNA", at positions 20 to 369 of the family's 1533-position model. Lineage: Bacteria; Pseudomonadati; Pseudomonadota; Betaproteobacteria; Neisseriales; Neisseriaceae. The record is from RNAcentral.
UGGCUCAGAUUGAACGCUGGCGGCAUGCUUUACACAUGCAAGUCGAACGGCAGCACGAAAGAGCUUGCUCUUUUGGUGGCGAGUGGCGAACGGGUGAGUAAUACAUUGGAACGUACCGAGUAAUGGGGGAUAACUGUCCGAAAGGAUGGCUAAUACCGCAUACGCUCUGAGGAGGAAAGCGGGGGACCUUCGGGCCUCGCGUUAUUCGAGCGGCCAAUGUCUGAUUAGCUAGUUGGUGGGGUAAAGGCCUACCAAGGCGACGAUCAGUAGUGGGUCUGAGAGGAUGAUCCGCCACACUGGGACUGAGACACGGCCCAGACUCCUACGGGAGGCAGCAGUGGGGAAUUUUGGAC